This 624-nucleotide ribosomal RNA is filed under the name Bacillus sp. N300II. RNAcentral describes it as "bacterial SSU rRNA". It matches the Rfam family "Bacterial small subunit ribosomal RNA", at positions 224 to 839 of the family's 1533-position model. The record is from RNAcentral. Lineage: Bacteria; Bacillati; Bacillota; Bacilli; Caryophanales; Bacillaceae.
GAUGGGCCCGCGGCGCAUUAGCUAGUUGGUGAGGUAAUGGCUCACCAAGGCAACGAUGCGUAGCCGACCUGAGAGGGUGAUCGGCCACACUGGGACUGAGACACGGCCCAGACUUCUACGGGAGGCAGCAGUAGGGAAUCUUCCGCAAUGGACGAAAGUCUGACGGAGCAACGCCGCGUGAGUGAUGAAGGUCUUCGGAUCGUAAAACUCUGUUGUUAGGGAAGAACAAGUGCGAGAGUAACUGSYCGCACCUUGACGGUACCUAACCAGAAAGCCACGGCUAACUACGUGCCAGCAGCCGCGGUAAUACGUAGGUGGCAAGCGUUGUCCGGAAUUAUUGGGCGUAAAGCGCGCGCAGGCGGUUUCUUAAGUCUGAUGUGAAAGCCCCCGGCUCAACCGGGGAGGGUCAUUGGAAACUGGGAAACUUGAGUGYAGAAGAGGAGAGUGGAAUUCCACGUGUAGCGGUGAAAUGCGUAGAGAUGUGGAGGAACACCAGUGGCGAAGGCGACUCUYUGGYCUGUAACUGACGCUGAGGCGCGAAAGCGUGGGGAGCGAACAGGAUUAGAUACCCUGGUAGUCCACGCCGUAAACGAUGAGUGCUAAGUGUUAGAGGGUUUCCGCCCU